This is a long non-coding RNA of Capsicum annuum, 1415 nucleotides long. RefSeq lists it as uncharacterized. NCBI's taxonomy places the organism in Eukaryota, Viridiplantae, Streptophyta, Magnoliopsida, Solanales, Solanaceae. The record is from RefSeq and is a predicted model, not a curated record. The transcript is spliced from 2 exons.
UUGAAAGGUGGGGCAAAAUUCAGAAUAAAUAUGAUGAUCCACGAAACAUCCAAUCUGAUUAUUUAUGAUCUUUCCCUUUCCUUUUUCUCCAAAAAACAAAUACUCUCUCUCUCUCUCUAUUAAUUGUUUUACAGCCAACAACAAUACAUAUUUUUGACAGUACGUACCAGAAAAACUCCACCAUCUUAAAUAGUGCUCAACUGCCCCCUCUUUUUCAACUACUACUAUAUACCUUCUCUCUAUUUUCAUUUGCGUAUAAAAUUAAAUACUAGUAGUAAUACUGCAGAUUUAUGACAAGGCAACAAUCUUGAUUUUCAUGGAGGUUUCUCAAAGGGUAACUCACACCAGUUCUUUGGCAUUCUGUCCACCUCCUUCAUGUAUUAUAUAUAUGCUUCCGUUUGGUCAUAGAUCAAUUUUGAAAUUUGAAGUUAUGUUUUUAUAUUUUUUUUACUUGAAAAAGAGUUUGACAUUGUGUAAGUGAAAGUCCCCAAAAAUCCAAAGAGUGGUCUGAGCAAGUUUUUAUGAACGUGAAAAUAUUUGAAGAUUAGACUUUCAUGUUUGUCAUCAGACAAAUAUUUGACGAUAAAUUUUCAAAACCUAUGACCAAACGCUAGCAUAUUAGAUUUUUUUUCUUUUUCUUUUUUAUAAAAUAAUAAUGGAGGUGGGCAUACUGCCAACAGAGUUGUGUUGGUUACUCUUUGUGAAAUCCCCGUGAUGUUUCAUCUCAGACCUUCUUCAUGAUCUUGUUGUUGUUAAUUCCCCCCCAGAAUUUGUGCUGACGAUGAUGUCUAGGGUUUUUUGGGAAAUUCCAAAAAGGUAAUAACAUGAUAUUAGUCAGACAUCUAAAUUGGAGAUAUUUGGAUGUCUAGCUAAUUGUCCAAGCCGUAAUGAUAGUAUCUUGUGCACCUGAAUUGGUGUCCUCACUUUUUCUAAACAACGGGGAAGAGGAUCAAAACAUGCCACUGAAAGAUUGUUCGGUAAACGAUGAGUUGUCAAGAACGUUAAAGAAGGUAGGAUGGAUCGUUGGUCAGAUCUAGUAUGAGAUUAUUUAUGUAGUUGGAAUUGACUGCUACCUAAAGGUUUUAAUUUUACAAGCAGAAAUUAAAUUUGUCUGCUUAGUGAAGAAAAAAUAAGCAUGAAAAUAGUACUAUUGCUAGGUUUUGACUUUGGAUUCAAUAGUAAAAAUGCGACGUUUAUGUGAAGAUAUGUGCUCAUUAUAUUGUGCCUAGUUAACUUUGAAGCUUCAUCUAACUAGUCCUCGAGGAUUUUUUGAUUAUUGAACGAAAAAGGUGAGACCGGAAUUAUGUCUAGGCUUUGUACGGAGUACAUAUGUGUAAUUCGAUAUGUUUAUUGAGAAGUAAAAUGUAAGACAUGAACAUAUGUUCUCAUUAUACUGUGCCUAGUUAACUUUGAAC